RNAcentral lists this ribosomal RNA (578 nucleotides) under uncultured bacterium. Its description in RNAcentral is "bacterial SSU rRNA". It matches the Rfam family "Bacterial small subunit ribosomal RNA", at positions 35 to 573 of the family's 1533-position model. The record is from RNAcentral.
GCUGGCGGCGUGGAUUAGGCAUGCAAGUCGAACGAGAUCUUUUUGGAACAAUUCUUCGGAAAAGGACCAUAAAGUGACAGUGGCGAACGGGUGAGUAACGCGUGGGCAAGCUACCCUGAAGUUGGGGAUAGCUCCGGGAAACCGGGGUUAAUACCGAAUGUGAUCGUCCCUCGCAUGGGGGAUUAUUUAAAGGUGGGGAUCUUCGGACCUGCCGCUUCUGGAUGUGCCCGCGUCCCAUCAGCUUGUUGGUAAGGUAACGGCUUACCAAGGCAGAGACGGGUAGCUGGUCUGAGAGGAUGGUCAGCCACACUGGGACUGAGACACUGCCCAGACUCCUACGGGAGGCUGCAGUCGAGAAUCAUUCGCAAUGCACGAAAGUGUGACGAUGCGACGCCGCGUGGAGGAUGACGGCCUUCGGGUUGUAAACUCCUGUCAUGAGGGAAGAAUCCCCGGAUAGUUAAUACCUUUCCGGGUUGACGGUACCUCAAGAGGAAGCCACGGCUAACUCUGUGCCAGCAGCCGCGGUAAUACAGAGGUGGCGAGCGUUGUUCGGAUUUACUGGGCGUAAAGGGUGCGUA